CGAACCUACGGGACGCAGCAGUGAGGAAUAUUGGUCAAUGGGCGGGAGCCUGAACCAGCCAAGUCGCGUGAGGGAAGACGGUCCUAUGGAUUGUAAACCUCUUUAGGCGGGGAGCAAUGCCGGGCACGUGUGCCCGGAGGGAGAGUACCUGCAGAAUAAGCAUCGGCUAACUCCGUGCCAGCAGCCGCGGUAAUACGUAGGGUGCGAGCGUUAAUCGGAAUUACUGGGCGUAAAGGGUGCGCAGGCGGUUGAGUAAGACAGAUGUGAAAUCCCCGAGCUUAACUCGGGAAUGGCAUAUGUGACUG
RNAcentral lists this ribosomal RNA (305 nucleotides) under uncultured bacterium. RNAcentral describes it as "bacterial SSU rRNA". It matches the Rfam family "Bacterial small subunit ribosomal RNA", at positions 332 to 635 of the family's 1533-position model. The record is from RNAcentral.